GACGAACGCUGGCGGUGUGCUUAACACAUGCAAGUCGAACGGUAAGGCCCUUUCGGUGGUACACGAGCGGCGAACGGGUGAGUAACACGUGCGUAAGCAGCCCUCAUCUCUGGGAUAACAAUCGGAAACGGAUGCUAAUACUGAAUAUGAGCUUGCUAGUGAUCUUGUGGGUUGGAAAGAUAUUUUUGGGUUGGGGAUGGACUCGCGGCGGAUCAGCUCGUUGGUGGGGUGGUGGCGCACCAAGGCUUCGACGGGUAUCGGGCCUGAGAGCGCGAGCGGCCACAUUGGGCCUGUGAGACGGGCCAAAGUCGGACGGGAGGCGGAAAGGGGGAAUAUUGGACAAUGGAAGGAGGUGUGAGGCAGCAACGCCGCGUGCGGGAUGACGGCCUUUGGGUGGUAAAAAGCUUUCUAUUGUGACGAAGCUUUUUUGUGACGGUAGCAGUAGAAGAAGCACCGGCUAACUACGUG
This 468-nucleotide ribosomal RNA is filed under the name uncultured bacterium. Its description in RNAcentral is "partial 16S ribosomal RNA". It matches the Rfam family "Bacterial small subunit ribosomal RNA", at positions 28 to 507 of the family's 1533-position model. The record is from RNAcentral.